ACGGAGUCCGAUGGUAGCUCUUUCGUCGGACCUCUCCGGAGACGUCGAUUUAGCUCCCGAUCGUGCGGCUCCCCUUCUUUUUUUACUCCUAACCUUCCGAAAAAUAAUGACGUUUUUGGAGAGUAAAUUAGCGGCAGUUAUUGCUUCCCUUACCACGCCCAGGCCCAGUUCAGCGCUAACGCCGCCCAGUCGGCCGUCGUCCUCGCCCAGACCCCCAUCCCGCUGCUCCCCAUCCCGUCGUCCUCGCCCUGUUCCUCGUCGUCCUCGCCCUGCUCCCCAUCUCGCCCUGCUCCCCAUCCCGCUGCUCCCCAUCUCGGGUAUCCAUGGACGCCGCCGUCCGGCGCCCUAGAUCGGCAGCGAAGGCUUAGCCGGGUUGACCAGGCCACAGUCUGGCUGAAGCAUCGAGGCUGGAGGCUGCUUCCACGGCAAACGUGCUUCCCCGCCGUUCUUCGAUGACGCAGGUGUAGACGGCGCCGUUCACCAGCGAGGGCUGGGCACUCCAGGCAGGUUGCUGCAGCCUAAGUCCCAGCUUGCACGGACCAUUCUAUGCAGUGAUGGCAACAUGUGUGUUAGUGAUGUUGCUAUACUGCCGACACGCCGUUGCUGGGACACAAAUGACUUAUUGAGGAGCUUGGAGCGCAUGGGAGAUCGUCCAUGAUUAACCCAUACAACGGUCAAUAAUGCUGGUUAAGGAGAAGUGAAAAACUUGUUGUGAUAGUGUUUCAUUUUGUCAACACAAGAGUUGUAAUUUUUUGUUUAAAUCAAACUAAUUUGUUCAUUGCUUCGUGCUUCAUGGUGUGCUUCCACAGAUUUCUCUUGUGAAGCAAAUAUUUUCAUGAGACUAAAAUUUGCUUGGUGGCAUCAAAAGUAGUAUUGGUAGAUCAAAAUAUUACCAUGUAUAAAUAAAUAUUUGUAUUUGUCACAGAAAGAAUGUCCCAUGAUGCGAACAAUAUGUCUCUAGCGCCACAAAAAAGAUGCUUCCAUU
Lolium perenne is the source of this 985-nucleotide non-coding RNA. The record is from RefSeq and is a predicted model, not a curated record. Lineage: Eukaryota; Viridiplantae; Streptophyta; Magnoliopsida; Poales; Poaceae.